Molecule: transfer RNA, 63 nt
Filed under: Andrena hunanensis
Lineage: Eukaryota; Metazoa; Arthropoda; Insecta; Hymenoptera; Andrenidae
Description: tRNA-Ile
Source: RNAcentral
AGUAACAUGCCUGAUAAAAGGGAUAUUUUGAUGAAAUACUUAUGUAAAACUUUACUGUUACUA